Long non-coding RNA from Scophthalmus maximus (turbot), 882 nucleotides. RefSeq lists it as uncharacterized. The transcript is spliced from 2 exons. Lineage: Eukaryota; Metazoa; Chordata; Actinopteri; Pleuronectiformes; Scophthalmidae. The record is from RefSeq and is a predicted model, not a curated record.
GGGCUCGCGCAUCAUGGCGCCUGGAUGGGAGGGGGGGGUUGCGAUCAAGGGUGAGACAAGAGUCGACGGGUUUUACUCCUUCUGUUGGAAAGCAGACUGUUGCUUCUCUUCCCUGUCGAUGCAAACUCCAACCACCGAGCAAGCAUAAGUCUGUGGAAGGAAACGGAGCUCACAGGCGUCCACAGGAGACGCAGCCAGGACAGACCUGAGAUAUGGUGACAAAGUGGCAGAUGCAGAGGAAGAGAGUGGGAGAAAGAGAGAGAUUACCCGUGGAGCAGGAAAACAUGCAGGGGGAGGAAGGGGAAAGGAACUUUUUUUUUUUUCCCUCCUCAGAAUCAUACUUCCUGUUCAUUAUUGCUUUGGGUUGGUUUCCAGGCCUUGCAGCUUCAUUUCCAGAAAUGCGAGUGAUUGUGACAGUUUGGAGCACUCAUGUAAGUUACGCAACUGAAAUAAUUGUGUCUGGCCCCAACGAAUAAAGAAGAAUUACAGAGAAAACAUCUUUUCGAUCUUCUGCUCUUUGUUCUCUGGGCUUUGCUUAAUAGACCUUUAAAUGCAAUUUUAAUGUCGUCUUAAUGUUUUAUUUUUUUUAUGCAUUUCAAUGCCUCUGUAUAGCACUUUGAAUUGCAUGAUGCCACAAAUACAUUUAUCGUGCCUUGCACAAAAUAAUCAUUUAAAAAAGUUAUAAUUUUGUGAGGCUUAACCCGGCAAAAUUACCAGUAUGAAUCUUUUCCCACGUAAGACUUGACAAGUUAAGUGGAGGCCUGCGUCAAUAACAGUGUUUGUUGUUGGUGUUGCCUUAGAAAAUAAUGUCUUCAGCACGCCAUUGCUGUUAAACUGUUAAACAGGCUAAAGCUGUGGAAAUAAAACUGUGUUGGAUUUCAA